Molecule: unclassified non-coding RNA, 148 nt
Filed under: soil metagenome
Description: partial internal transcribed spacer 1
Source: RNAcentral
CCGAGUUUACAACUCCCAAACCCCUGUGAACAUACCUACUUGUUGCCUCGGCGGAUCAGCCCGCGCCCGUAAAACGGGACGGCCCGCCAGAGGACCCCUAAACUCUGUUUCUAUAGUGGAACUUCUGAGUAAAACCAUAAAUAAAUCA